RNAcentral lists this long non-coding RNA (2451 nucleotides) under Canis lupus familiaris (dog). RNAcentral's name for it is "lncRNA (ENSCAFG00000053525.1)". The record is from RNAcentral. Lineage: Eukaryota; Metazoa; Chordata; Mammalia; Carnivora; Canidae.
UUACAUAGAACUCCAGCCACAAGCAGAGAUAUUUGAUUUGUAUCCAGUCUGUGCCACCAGCAUGUAUAGAAUAUAUAGGUCAAGUGGGGAGAUAUUAAGUGUUCUGCUACUUUUUGAAGGAAAUUUGUUAAAAAAGUAAUCAAACCUAAUGAGUAUACUUACCUCAGAUAGUCACUCUCUUUGAAUGCCUAACUUUUUCACAAAAACUUGCACCCAGAGAAAGAGCCACAAAAUUGUAUUAAUGAUCAUUCAUCCACAAAUUUCGAUGGUUUCCUGGUCCUGACAGAUGGAGAAAUAUGUACUCUAGGUGGCCUCUCUGAAGUUUGGCAGUAGAUAUGCAUGAUCUCAUGCAACAAAGAUAGAACAUUCUCCAGUUCUUUUGGCAGAAGAUGAUGAGGAGUAUAAAAGAAGAUUAAGUUUCUAAGCAAUAUUUUCUUCUAAAAAUCUUCUAUAAGUAUUUUAUAAAGAAGUAGAACUCCUAAAUGAAACCUGCCAUGAAGUUAAGGUAUAGAUUGCUAUCAAAGAAGGAUAUUCUAGAUUCUAAGUGUUUGACACAGCUUUGAAAUCUGUGAACUUGAAUAACAAUGGAUAAAAGCUAAUUAAUCAUUGCUUAAACUAAGCCAAACCAAAGUUCUGAUAUAAUGUUUACAGAUAUCACUCAGUCAUUCACUUUCAUUGUCUGGUUCUUUUAAUAACUUAGCACUGAGAAUCUUGCCAAAUAUGGGUAUUUUGACCCCAACGAUCUGUUCAGAAACAGUUCUUUUUAAUGGAAGCUGCAUUAUCAAGGGCACAGUUGACAUUCUAUAUAAUUCCUUAAUUCAAUUUGAAAUAGAGUGACAUCAACCUUGGACCAGUACCCAAACUACAGCAUGUUCAAAUUAUUAAAGAGCUUUAAUCCAUUUUCCAUGUCCAUCUUCCCUGAACUUUAUCAUAUUGAAACCAAAAUACCAAGGUUAGUAAAUAGGUUUCAACUUACUAUUCAAAUGGAAUAGUGACUGCUUGGAGAGCUAUGUGGAAAGGGAUCUUGGGCUCAGGUCAGUAGACAUGAGGAUUGUGAUUAGCAUUGUCUGCCAUGGAGAGGUAGUAGUAGUAGAAACAGCUAGAAAACAAAAUUCUGGAACCUAAAGGUGUUUAACGCAGAGAAAAGAAAUCUCAGGUGAGCCAUGGUAUUUUCCUCAAAUGCUUGAAGGGCAGCUAUACGAAAGACAGAAUCAACUUUUUCUAACAUGGAAUUAGUAUUGGUAAGCAAAAUCACAAACUCCAUGUAACAAAGAACUUUUAAAUAAUUAGAGAAGUCCAAAAUGGAACCCAUACUAGGAUAUCAUAGAAAGGAUCCCAGCAAGUAUGGAGAAUUAGAAUUAAUUAUUUCUUAGGGAUCUUACCACACGCCAUCAAGUCUCAACAAUGAUAAAUAUUACUUUUUAGAGGAGGGUUACCUGUACUGAGAUAAAAACAAACAAAGGAAAAUGUCCAUCUAGUUCAGACCAAAUAUUUAGUACGGCCACUGAAUUUUGCCCUAAUCUGAAGCAACGUCUGUACCUUGCCAUAGUACUUUGAAAGCUAUUUUAUAUUUGAAAUUUAAAAAAUGCAUUUGAAAUUGGACAUCAUCUUUUAAAACCUCAGAAUUCAGGAUUCUAAUGUGUCAGUGUGGCUACACCUGAACUAACAGUCCUUGCCAAAAUGAAACCUAUCAAAAGCGUUCAUGCCAUAUAUUGGAAACCAAUUGGUUGCCCUGGAAGGUUAGGUAUAUGAUUCGUUAUUGUCCCGUCAGCAAUCAGCAUCUUUGCCGUAGACUGAAGGAGAUGGAGAGAAAAUCACACAAGACAGAGAUGAAAGCUGUGUAGUCAGAAGAAAAAAGCCUUCUUGAUUAUGCUGUGGACUUUCUGAAGUCUUUAAUUCUCCCUCUAGCCCAUCUUCAAACUGGCAUGUGGGACGUACUGUAGAUGGAUGGUGAUGCUCAUCAGGAGAAGCACACACAUAUAUCUUGUGGGUUGAUUUUUUUAUUUGCCAGCUCAAGAGGAGCAGGGAGAUUUAUUUGGAAGGAUGGUAAUGAAGGUGGGGAGGCACUAGUUAGACUGCAGUUUCUGUUCCCAAUAUGUUAUUCUCACUUUUUUCUCUUCUUGAUGCUGGGUUGCUCUCUUUAUUUCCACUUAUUUUUCUUUAAAGGAGGGAUGUUUUGGUGUACUAAGCCAGCGGCUUGAGAGAGGAGGGUGGUAAAGAUGUGGGAACACAGGAUCUCUAUGUGUUAUUUUUGCUGAGAUAUUUCAAAUGUUUUAAUUACAUUCUACAUUUUUAUUCCACACACAUUUACUUAUACACAAUUACAUACUAUUUGAAAUAGUUGUUUUCUUUAUCCCCAAAUGAGAUUUCAUGUUCCCUUCCUCGCUAUCUUUCUUUUUGCUCUGCCUCACAAGAAUGAAAUAAUUCACUAUAACAAAAAAAAUCACUUUC